This 1361-nucleotide long non-coding RNA is filed under the name Heterocephalus glaber (naked mole-rat). Its description in RNAcentral is "lncRNA (ENSHGLG00000042497.1)". Lineage: Eukaryota; Metazoa; Chordata; Mammalia; Rodentia; Bathyergidae. The record is from RNAcentral.
AAACAAGGCAAUGAGUGACACAGUGAAGAGCUUCCUCCCCCAUGAAGGCCUCGUCCCAAUCCAAGUGAAGGGUGGGGGCAUCCUCUUGGGUCAUGCACGUGGGCUGUCACCCCCCUGCCACCCCCCGGCACAGCGCCCACCUGUGUGGUGCUGCCUCUAAGUCCUGGAAGAGAAAGGCCCUGCGGCGGGGCACAGCUCUCCUCGGGCCAGACCCGAAUUCCUCCAGGAUACCGGCUCUAGAGGAGAAGGUUCCCUGCGGGGAACCCUCAGCUGCAGGCAACGUGGACGCCGGGUGACAGCUCCACCACGUCCAUCCGCGGAACGCAUCACAAAGUCAUCCCAAGAUCAUGCCAGGCCCCGGGCCUGCUGCGGGCCCAGGAGGGGCCGAAGGCCGCUGGGCACGGAGGAGGAGCCCAGAGCUGGUUUCGUGGAAGAAAGAGACGCAGAGACCCGGGCGAGCCCCCGCCAGGGGUCAGAGCGGGGCACAGGACCGGCGGGGUGCAGCCCACCCAGCACGGACUCCUCAGGAAGGCUCACCCUUGUGGGCGGAGCCUCCACUCCCGCAGCGUUCAGGCCUCCGGAGUCCUUGCUGGGCCUGCCUGGCCCGUCACUAACACCGGCCCGCUCGGAGCGGAGAGGCCCGGAGGGUGACUUGGUGAGCGGCCCCGCCCCAGGACCCAUCUGUGGGACAAGAUGAAGAGACACGUUCAGGUGCCCUCCGAAACAACGGCCAGACGAGCCGCGACACGGUCUCGCUUCUAGGUCUCACUGUCACAUGGUCAAGUGUGUCUGGAACUCCUGAUCAUGGACAACUCAGUACAUUUCCAGCCUUUCUGGAGACAAACCAGCAUGGCGAGGCAGCCUGGGGACGUGAAGGACUGAUUGCCAGGACGCUGGAUGACAGAGGCGCACGGAGAAUGCACCCUGAACUUCACACUCUGUUUCCAUACAGUAGUCAAUCAAAACGCCCUAGAGAAUAGCUCAGAUGGCAGCCUUUGGCCAUUGGUCAAUCGUAAACCUUUGGAAAUUGGAAUUGAAAGAAAAUUCCCAGUCCACUGAGUGGAUUUAGAAAUUGCUCCGGCCACUUGCUUCUCAUAAGACUUUACUAAGUGUCUACAAAUUAGCAUCAUAAAAAUGAAUCAAAAAGACAAAAACAUUUGGCUUAAAAUAAAUACUAAAAAUGAAAUAAAUCAAGCAAAUUAUGCAAACCAAAGGAAUGUAAACACAAAAAUAAAACCACAAUCUUUAAAGGUCUUCAGAGCUGAAUGGAGAAAAAAAUUCAGAGAAAGGUAUUUAACUGGUUCUAAGGCAGCAGAGAGCAAGGCUGUCUUGAUUUGAGAGAGCGUCAGUCAGGUUGAGCC